RNAcentral lists this ribosomal RNA (253 nucleotides) under uncultured bacterium. RNAcentral describes it as "partial 16S ribosomal RNA". It matches the Rfam family "Bacterial small subunit ribosomal RNA", at positions 524 to 776 of the family's 1533-position model. The record is from RNAcentral.
UACGGAGGGGGCAAGCGUUGUUCGGAAUUACUGGGCGUAAAGGGCGCGUAGGCGGCUCGCUAAGUCGAACGUGAAAUCCCCAGGCUUAACCUGGGAACUGCGUCCGAUACUGGCAGGCUUGAAUCCGGGAGAGGGAUGUGGAAUUCCAGGUGUAGCGGUGAAAUGCGUAGAUAUCUGGAGGAACACCGGUGGCGAAGGCGGCAUACUGGACCGGCAUUGACGCUGAGGCGCGAAAGCGAGGGGAGCAAACGGG